RNAcentral lists this ribosomal RNA (993 nucleotides) under Burkholderia pyrrocinia. RNAcentral describes it as "bacterial LSU rRNA". It matches the Rfam family "Bacterial large subunit ribosomal RNA", at positions 176 to 1210 of the family's 2925-position model. The record is from RNAcentral. Lineage: Bacteria; Pseudomonadati; Pseudomonadota; Betaproteobacteria; Burkholderiales; Burkholderiaceae.
GAAGCGAACGCGGUGAACUGAAACAUCUAAGUAACCGCAGGAAAAGAAAUCAACCGAGAUUCCCAAAGUAGUGGCGAGCGAAAUGGGAUGAGCCUUGCACUCUUUAUUUGUAUUGUUAGCCGAACGCUCUGGAAAGUGCGGCCAUAGCAGGUGAUAGCCCUGUAGGCGAAAACAGUAUGAAAGAACUAGGUGUGCGACAAGUAGGGCGGGACACGUGAAAUCCUGUCUGAAGAUGGGGGGACCAUCCUCCAAGGCUAAAUACUCGUGAUCGACCGAUAGUGAACCAGUACCGUGAGGGAAAGGCGAAAAGAACCCCGGGAGGGGAGUGAAAUAGAUCCUGAAACCGCAUGCAUACAAACAGUCGGAGCCUCGUAAGGGGUGACGGCGUACCUUUUGUAUAAUGGGUCAGCGACUUACGUUCAGUAGCAAGCUUAACCGUAUAGGGCAGGCGUAGCGAAAGCGAGUCCGAAUAGGGCGUUCAGUUGCUGGGCGUAGACCCGAAACCAAGUGAUCUAUCCAUGGCCAGGAUGAAGGUGCGGUAACACGUACUGGAGGUCCGAACCCACUAACGUUGAAAAGUUAGGGGAUGAGCUGUGGAUAGGGGUGAAAGGCUAAACAAACUUGGAAAUAGCUGGUUCUCUCCGAAAACUAUUUAGGUAGUGCCUCGUGUCUCACCUUCGGGGGUAGAGCACUGUCAUGGUUGGGGGGUCUAUUGCAGAUUACCCCGCCAUAGCAAACUCCGAAUACCGAAGAGUGCAAUCACGGGAGACAGACAUCGGGUGCUAACGUCCGGUGUCAAGAGGGAAACAACCCAGACCGCCAGCUAAGGUCCCCAAAUAUAGCUAAGUGGGAAACGAAGUGGGAAGGCUAAAACAGUCAGGAGGUUGGCUUAGAAGCAGCCACCCUUUAAAGAAAGCGUAAUAGCUCACUGAUCGAGUCGUCCUGCGCGGAAGAUGUAACGGGGCUAAGCUAUAUACCGAAGCUGCGGAUGCG